Cyanistes caeruleus (blue tit) is the source of this 222-nucleotide non-coding RNA. Lineage: Eukaryota; Metazoa; Chordata; Aves; Passeriformes; Paridae. The record is from RefSeq and is a predicted model, not a curated record.
CCACCUCCACCCUGUGCAGAAGGGAUGGAAAUUCUACAGCCAAGGGUUAUCAUUGAUCAAGAAUAUCCAUGAAAGGUAUUUUUGUCAUGAGGGAAGUGGCUGAGUUACCUUUUAGCAUAAAGGGAAUGAAUGAAGAGUAGAGUGAGUCAGGGAGAGUAAAUUUUGGCCUUUGUUAAUAGAAACUUCAUAAGGAAACCUGGAAAUGUUUUAAUGGAAUUCAGG